UCCUCCAUAAUCAUGGUGUGGGACUAUGCAAUGAUCAGUAGCUUUUGAUAUAUCUCAGUUUGAUUAAUACUUGAAAGUUCGUAGACUAUAAUUAUCUAUAUGCUUGAGAUCUGUAGGUUAUUCUGUAUUGUAGUUUCAUAUGUUGUAGAAUAGAUCUCUUAACGACCUUAAUCUAUUGACCAUUUGAUUAAAUGGAACUAGCUAUUGUUAGCACUCCAUUCUCUUGACAGCAGCGUCGUCCAGAAAUAAUUCUACAUUUAGUAUGAUUGUGUUCACUCAUUAUUCUUAGUUGUUUUUAGAGUCUGAUUGGUUUGACCCAUUUAUUUUAGGUUGUUUUUGUGUUACAAUUUUUCUUUGAAAAAGCUGUUACAUAUGGAGAAUUCAUGGUGGUAUUUUCUGAAGUUUUAAGCCAUUGAUUCUGUACCAUUUUUUAUUGGAAUUUGAAGUGUACCACCAGAUUUCCAUUGAAACUGAAAAAUGGCACCAAUUGAGAGUUCCAACGUCCCCCCUCCCAAAAAAAGAAAAAAAAGAAAAAGAAAAAGGGAGAAACGAGAAAAAAUAAAGAAUAUAUUUUCUUUGAUACUGUGGCACUUGGAAUAAAAAAUAACAAGAAGUAAAUUUUAUUUUAUUUUGUUUUUUCUUUUGAUAAGUAAUGAGAGAAAAAAAUUAUAGGGUGCUUUAUCACAUUUUAAGAAAUGAGCUUCUCAAACUUUUGUUGAGGCAAAGGCUUUUGGCCUCCAUUAUUUAUCUGUCAGGUAAGAAAUUAGUUGGGUGAUCUAGGGAUUGAAGGAGAAGCCCAAAUCAGAACCUUGUUCAUAAAUGUCUUAGCUUAAUUUUGUAUGAUGCCAAGGACCUUUCAUGCUCCUCUCUUUGGCCAGAAAAUGACAGUGGAACUACCAUUUUUUAAUCAAGAAGUUGGAGAAUUUAAGUUAAUUUAAAAAAGAAAUGCAAAUAAUCUGGCUUUGGUGGAAUUUCUACACUUCCAUCCAUGGUGAUAGCACACAUAAUGGACUUUGCGCGUUAGACAAUGCCUUUUAUGAGGACUCGGGAGAUUAUGUAAAAACAUAAAACGAGAAGGUUGUUUAGGAUUACAUUUAGUUUAAGUGUACAAAAUAAAGUCAAUGACUUUGCUUCAAGGAAACCUUUAGCUCAGGAGAGGCACUGUCCAGAUGGAUCGGAUCUUCAGUUAGUUUUUACGAAAUAGUGAAACAUAUACAAUUCUGAAUGUUGAACUGAUUCGGGUCUGCUAGUACUAGCAAUCCUACCUGGUUGCAACAUCCCUCUUGUGGUUUCUUUUGUCUCAUGGUCUGCUCAUGUUCAACACAGAGACAUCGGCGCAAAUCCAAAUCUUUCUUGACAUGUCCUAUAGGAGGAUGGUGCCGGUUCUACACCAAUGGAUCAUAUGUACAGGCUUUUGCAAUUCCUGAAAUUAAUUAGAAGUCUUGCAGAAUCUGAUACUUGAAUUGAGUAAUAUUCUUGAAAUUAUGGGAAUCUUAAAAUAAUAACAAAAUGAAGAAUACUUUGUAAUCUUUUCAUAUAUAACUGCAGCUAUAUUCAGUAAAUUGCCAUAUGCCUGAUUAUACCAUCCAAUCCCAAGAUAAAGAGUGUCAAAUUUGUCCUGUUGAUUGUUGAUAAAGAGUGUCAAAUUUGUCUUUUCGAGAUGAGGUCGCCAAUGCUGGAGAUGGGGAGAGGCGAGCCGGGUUUGACCAGGGCGAUGGUCUGGUAUGGGGAGCCAUGGCUGAGGCCGAUACAGAGGGUCGUGAUGAAUUGGCGCUGGUACUGCAGCCUUUGGCUGUGGAUAGGGGCAACCAGGAGGGACUGAUGGGUCCAACACAGGUGCAGUUUGAGGACAGUAAUGUCUUUGGAAGGAAUGGGAUACCUGCAGUGGAGGAUGUAUCAGAUUGGGUGUUGAAGCGCAUAACUGAGGUCAGUCGGUUAUUGGGUCUAUCAUUCAAAGGGUAUAAGGAGGAAGUCUUACGGUUAUUUUCUGCCAUGGAGGCAUCGUGGCGAAAAGGGUCUCCUAGUAACCCAGUGGGUACAGUGGCAGAGACUAAUCGUGAAGGGAAACGGGAGUUAAGGAAUUUAGUGUGUUCAAUCAAUUAUGUACAGGGUGGGGCACGGGCUGAUCGUGGCUCACAUAGACGUCAAGGGGUUCCUUUGUUGUUGAAAUGAAGUUAAAAUUUUUGUUAUGGAAUGUAUGGGGAUUGAAUGAUAGGGACAAAAGGGUAGCCGUGAAGGCAGUCUUGCGAAGUGUGAAAGUUGAUGUGGUGUGCUUACAAGAGACAAAGAUGGAGGUGUUGGGGUUAGAGGUGGUGCGAGAAAUUUGGGGAGGCCGAUUUGUAGAGUGGUUACAUUUGCCGGCAGUGGGCACGGCAGGAGGUGUUCUAAUCGUUUGGGACUCGAGGGUGGUUGUGAAGGAAGAUGAGGAGUUGGGUAGCUUUUCAGUGUCUUCUCAAUUUCGAUGUGUGGCGGAUCAGUUCCAAUGGGUGUUCACGGGGGUGUAUGGCCUAGUGCGGAACGAGGAUCGUGGGGAGUUCUUUUUAGAGUUAGAGGCUGUGGCAUUUUGUUAGUCAGUGCCUUGGUGUGUGGGAGUUGACUUCAAUAUGACGAGGUGGCCAACUGAGAGGGUGGGGAGUUCCUGGGAGUUGGGCUGCAUGCGAAGGUUCUGUUCUUUUAUUGAUGAAAUGCUGUUGAUUAACAUGCUGCUUUAGGAAAGGAGCUUUACUUGGUCGAAUGGGCAGAGUUUGUCUCGGAUUGAUCGAUUUGCGAUUGGGAGGAACAUUUUUCGGAUGUUGUUCAAAUUCGAUUGUCUCGUUUAGUGUUUGAUCAUUGGCCUCUUUUACUCAAUAGUGGGGGGGCUCCGCAGUGGCCCAACUCUUUUCCGUUUUGAGAACAUGUGGUUGCAUUCGGAGGGUUUCUUGGAGAUGGUUCGGGGGUGGUGGAACUCUUAUGCAGUUACAGGGUUGCCUAGUUGCAUGUUGGUGCAGAAGUUGAAAUUGCUUAAAGGGGAUCUGAAACGCUGGAAUAGGGAGGUUUUUGGCCGACUAGAGGGUCAGAGACAAGCAAUGGUGUCCUUACUAUCUUCCUUGGAUGAGUUAGAGGCUGAAGGGGGCUUAUCGCUGGAUGAUGUUGCUAGAAAGGAGGUGGCUAGACAGGAUUAUGUUCGUAUUUCGCGCAUAGAGGAGAUGAGUUUUAGACAAAGGUCUAGGUGUUUGUGGUUGAAGGAUGGGGAUCGUAACACAAAAUUCUUCCAUCGGAUGGCUAAUGCUCACCGUCGGAUAAAUCGUAUUAGUCGAAUGCGGGUGAAUGGGCGUGAACUGGUAAAUGAAGAGGAGAUCAAGGGAGGGAUUGUGGAUUUCAGAAUUUGUUUCUUCUGCAAGAAGGGGAGUGGCGGCCAGGGCUGGAAGGGCUUUAUUUUGAUAUGAUUUUGGCUGAGGAUAGGGUGGCCUUGGAGCAAGCCAUUACGGAGGAGGAAAUAUUUUGGGCUUUGCGGGCCAUGAGUGGGGAUAAAGCUCCCGGUCCCGAUGAUUUUACUAUGGCUUUCUUUCAGCACUGUUGGAGUGUGGUUAAGGCAGACGUGAUGGCGGCACUGGAGGCUUUUUUCGAGAUUGGGCAGUUUGAGAAAAGUCUUAAUGUGACUUUUUGGUUUUGAUUCCAAAGAAAGGGGGGUUGAGGACAUUAAGAACUUUCGGCCAAUUAGUCUUUGUGGGAGUGUUUAUAAACUGUUGGCUAAGGUGUUGGCAAAUAGACUUUGCGGGGUUUUGUAGAAAGUGGUGUUUGACUCUCAGAAUGCUUUUGUGGGGGGGUCGGCAGAUUUUAGAUGUAAUCUUGGUGGCUAAUGAGUGUAUGGAUUCCCAGAUUAGGCAGGGGCAAUCGGGUGUGAUUUGUAAGUUGGAUAUAGAGAAGGCCUAUGAUAAUGUGCGGUGAGAGUUUUUGUUGUAUGUUUUGGAUCGUAUGGGUUUUGGGAAGACUUGGUGUUGCUGGAUUCAGUUCUAUAUUUCUACUGUGCGGUUGUCGAUUAUGGUUAAUGGUACUCCAGCGGGGUUCUUUCGGACAUAUUGAGGUCUUCGUCAGGGAGACCCUUUGUCGCCACUUUUGUUUAUUUUAGUGAUGGAGGCCUUAAGCAGAUUGUUGGAAAGAACAGGUCAUGAAGGUUUGCUGGAAGGUUUUGUGGUUGAGUCUCCUACAGGAGCAUGCCUGAGUGUUUCCCAUUUGUUGUAUGCCGAUGAUGCGCUAAUCUUCUGUGGGGUGGUGGCGGAACAGUUGGGUUACUUGAGAUGUGUUUUGUUGUUCUUCGAGGUUGUCUCAGGUCUUCGGGUGAAUUUGGGGAAGUCUGAGUUGAUUCCAGUGGGUCAAGUGGAGGGGUUGCCAGUGCUAGCAGCGGUGUUGGGUUGUAAGGUGUUUAUCUUGCCGGUGACUUAUUUGGGUUUGUCAUUGGAGGCAACGUUUAAGGCUAUAGGGGUAUGGGACGGGGUUGUGGAGUGGAUUCAACGACGGUUAACAGGUUGGAAGAGGUAACAUCUAUCGCAAGGGGGAAGGUAGACUUUGAUCAAGAGCCUGUUGAGCAAUAUUCCGACAUAUUUUAUGUUGUUGCAUGUUAUUCUAGUGUUUGUGGCGUGGAGGAUUGAGAAGUUACAAAGGGAUUUCUUGUGGGGUAGUCAGGGUGCUGAUUUUAGGUAUCACUUGGUGGAUUGGGGACGGAUUUGUCAACCGAAAGUGGCAAGGGGGGAAUGGGGGUCAGGGGCGGUGCUGGGUUUGCAUGGUUAUGGGUUAUGGAAAAGGAUCUGGUUGGGGAGAAGGGAGUUUUGGGGUAGGGUGGGUUUUCGAGUAGUGAUGGGGUGAGGGUGCGUUUCUGGAAGGAUCGAUGGUGUGGGGUGGAUUCAUUGGAGGCUCACAUUCCUUUGAUCUUCAGUAUUGUCAGAGAUCAGGAGGCUAUGGUGGCAUCCUAUUUCAGGGGUGGGGAGGGGGUGGUUUGGGACAUUACGCUACGGCGACCGGUUCAAGACUGGGAGGUUGAUCAACUGGUGGAGUUAUGGGGUUACUUGUAUGGGUUAGGGGUGAAUGGGGUGGGGGAGGAUGUUUUGGGCUGGACUGUUGGGGCUAAAGGGUGUUUUUCGGUCUCGUCAUUCUAUUGGAGCUUGGUGAGGAAGGUGAGGCGGGAUUUUCCUUGGAGGAGUGUUUGGGUGUCAGGAGUUCCAUCUAAGGUGGUUUUCUUUAUGUGGACGGCGGCUUUGAGUAGAAAUCUCACGAUUGAUAACUUGAUGCGGCGGGGUCACAAUCUAGUGAAUCAGUGUUGUAUGUGUUGUAAUGCUGUAGAGUCUGUGGAUCAUUUGUUUUUGCAUUGUCUGGUAGCGUCCUAUGUGUGGGCCUUUGUUUUCUACGGGUUCAGCCGAGGCGGGUGGUGGACAUGUUGUGGAGCUUGCGCGGGGCUCGAGUUGGGCGUUGACAGCGGCAUGUGUGGAUUUUGGUCCCUUUUUGUUUGAUGUGGUUAGUUUAGUUGGAACAUAAUAGACGCACGUUUCAGGAUAUUCAACGCAAUGUUAGUUGGAUUGAGAGUCGCCUUCUGGUUGUUUUGUAUGGUUGGUUAGAGAUGAAAAUUGAUCCGGAUAUGUUUAGUUUUUUAGAGUUUCUGGAUGGGGUUAUAGGUUAGAUGGUGUGUUUUGCCCUCAUGGGGAUUUUUGUAUUCUUUACAUCAUUUUGAUGCUUUCUCAAUAAAGUCCGCAUACUUAUUUAUCAAAAAAAAAAAA
Non-coding RNA from Camellia sinensis, 5747 nucleotides. The record is from RefSeq and is a predicted model, not a curated record. Lineage: Eukaryota; Viridiplantae; Streptophyta; Magnoliopsida; Ericales; Theaceae.